Molecule: long non-coding RNA, 2248 nt
Organism: Heterocephalus glaber (naked mole-rat)
Lineage: Eukaryota; Metazoa; Chordata; Mammalia; Rodentia; Bathyergidae
Source: Ensembl
AAAAUUCCUUCCUGUCUAAUGCAGGAAGUGUUCAGCUCUGACCCAAGCAUGGCAAAGACAUUGAAUUUGCAAAACAGUACAAAACCCACCAACUUUUUGGCCGAAGACUCCUGAAUACUUUAUGUGCUCCCUGGAACUUGGCUUCUGCAGGACUCUUUAAAAUCGGAUAGUCCUGACUAACUGCAUUCUGUGCCUGAAGAACAGCUCUGACUGAAGGGAAGUGUUAAUGCAGUGAUAGAUGACUAGAACAUCUGUUAUCAACUUAUAUGAAUUUGAAAUCAUGACUUCUGUUGGAGAUAUUCUUUAUCCUAUUUUCCUUCUUUAAUAAUAUAUUUGGAACCAUCAUGAGGCCAAAUUGUGAAGCAGAACUAAUGUGAUAAAGACUUCCUGGACUUCCCUGCCUUAUAUGAUGGUUGUAGUUCAUCCUAUAGAAUAUAGACUCACAGCUAAGACUUUGCCUGGGGUCUCAGAGGAAAUUUUGACCUGGAAUUUUAAAUAAUGCUGAAACUGUGGAGACCUUGAAGAAGACAUUAUUGUGUUUUUAUUUAUAUGCAAGAUCGAACUCAGGACAUUGAGCUUGGAGGCAGGCAUGGUGCCACUGAGCUACAUCCCGGCCCAUAGGUUAUUCUCAGCGGUGUUUGGAUUCUUAGAUGAGAUUUGCCAGACUGGGAACUAAAGCACUUAGAACACUUUGGCAAGGCUUUGGAGCUGGAUUUCACUGUGCAACUGUGAAGCUGUUCUUGCAAAGGUUUGACAGGAAGAGACUUCAGUGCUGAGCCAGAAAAUAAGUGCAUCCAAAGAAGAGCUGACCCAUUAUUCAAGCAUCUCCAGUCUUCUUUGCUACAAAGAAGAUACUACACACCUGCUGCUACAGUUGUCUCUGGUUAAAAAACUCUUCCCUUCAAUUUAGGAAGCCUGACCAAGAGAUAAAUUAUUUCUCCUUGUCAAUGAACACACAUUUUUUAUUUGCUUAAUCCGAUACAAUUUCUUUCUCCUCAUCUCAUUUUUGAUUUUCCUUUCUUGGAGAAAAAUGAGAGAGGAAAAUGAGGUUUAGAUUAAGUAAACAGAUGCCAAACAUUUUGUGAGGCUGUUAUACAUUAGAUGUCCCAGCUACAACCUUUAUCUGUCUUUAUAACAUUGUAUUCAUGUGAAUAUUGAGUUACAUGGAUUCAUUUUGUAUGCCAUCGUAAAGCUGCAUCUUGAAGUCCUCUUCUCUUGGGAGAUCUUUGUGCAAUUUCCUUAUCAAUGUACAGCACUACUGAAAUAACUAUUUUAGGUGUUCUCUCAUGGACAGAUGACCCAGGACAGACACAGUCAUCUCACUGUGCUUUGUGUGAUUCAUCUGCAGUUCAAUUCUUUGGAGUUUCAGCUCUUAGCACAAUACCACUUCCUGUUUUUGAGAGGAGAAAUGGCAUAAAAAAUCACAUAAAAAGUCUUAUGAGGCCCUUGGACAUCAAAUAACUCUUGCAAAACAAAAUUUUAAUAAAUUAAGUGUAAAUGAAUCAGAAACAUGUGGGUUGAAUUUCCCUGGAAAUACCCAAGGGCUUAAAAAUUAAAAAAAAAAUUAAAAAGAAUUGCUUGGCAAAGAAUCUUGUGCAUUUUACUGAGCUCAAGCCUUUUGAAAAAGAGCAAAAGAAAACAGCCUUGAUUUGGUUGACUGAAUUAAGAAAACACUCCUGUACCCUUUAUUUAUUUUUAAUUCUACAAAAGUCAGAUUGAAGGUAUAAUUACGUUUCUUUUUGGGUGCCAAAUACAUCGAUGUUAGAGCAUUUUUCAAGUACAGUAACAUUUUGACUAACCAGAACCUCAAGUCAUGGUUGUCUUUUCAAAGGCAAUAGUGGCAGGCAAAGAAAAACUAAAAACUGUAGUUCAAGUAAAGGUCAUUAGAGCUGAGGUAAAGAAAACAUGGUGAUCAUUCAGUUCACUAACCAAGAGGAUCCUAACUGUAAAGGAACCCUGAGCCUUGGUAGUUAGCCACUGAACAAAGCACAAAAAGCAGUCAUGUGAAGACCAAAGCUCAGAAUGUAAGGAAAGUUGAAAUAAGUGGAAAAAUCUGUCUACUGAACGGAAGCUCUGGAAUAAAAGGAAAUGGCUGACCAAGGAAAAUAAAAGUUGCAAGAACUGAAAAAUUUAAAUAGCAGCUAGCAAUGGCCAAAAUGAAGCACAGGCAUAGGGAUUUGAAGGUUGGACACAGAAAAGCAAAACAAAGACCAAUAUUCACACCCCAAACCGUACUGUGAACACAAAG